RNAcentral lists this transfer RNA (76 nucleotides) under Chitinophagaceae bacterium. RNAcentral's name for it is "tRNA-Thr". It matches the Rfam family "tRNA". Rfam says of the family: Transfer RNA (tRNA) molecules are approximately 80 nucleotides in length. Their secondary structure includes four short double-helical elements and three loops (D, anti-codon, and T loops). Further hydrogen bonds mediate the characteristic L-shaped molecular structure. tRNAs have two regions of fundamental functional importance: the anti-codon, which is responsible for specific mRNA codon recognition, and the 3' end, to which the tRNAs corresponding amino acid is attached (by aminoacyl-tRNA synthetases). tRNAs cope with the degeneracy of the genetic code in two manners: having more than one tRNA (with a specific anti-codon) for a particular amino acid; and 'wobble' base-pairing, i.e. permitting non-standard base-pairing at the 3rd anti-codon position. Lineage: Bacteria; Pseudomonadati; Bacteroidota; Chitinophagia; Chitinophagales; Chitinophagaceae. The record is from RNAcentral. RNAcentral also lists the same sequence under 2 other names.
GCCACCUUAGCUCAGUUGGUAGAGCAACUGAUUUGUAAUCAGUAGGUCGCCAGUUCGACUCUGGCAGGUGGCUCCA